UAGAGCAUUUCAGUACAGCCUGGUCUCACAGCAGUCUAAUCUUGAAGUGACGAAAGCAUGGAUUAGCUUUUCUGCAUCAUUUUUGGACAAACAGUUUCAGAUUUUUGCAAUGUUACAAACUGCUCUUGAAAAUAUUUAUGAUAUGUUUGUCAUAAAAUGCUGUUACAAAGACAGUGCCCACCCCACUCCAUUGGCUGUUAUUUUUUACAGGACCUGUCCAUAUUACCGUUUUAUCAACCAUUUAUUUUCUUAAUGUCAACAGUGUGAAAGGGAACCUGUAUCCUAAAAUUCCAAAGCCAGUAUGGAAGGAGGAAUGGUUGACACCACUGGAGGGCCAUGGCCGCCAAAUCCUCAAUGUGGAACCAUGUCAACCCAGUGAGAUUGAUAUAGUGUGUAACCGAGAGCAGUCUGGAGAAGCUGUACUAGAUAAAGAUGCUGGAAAGGGUGCCUUAACCAACACAAACUCAGAUGUCCCAGCUCUGCAUGGAUACUACAACCAGCUCCUCAGCAAGACCACUUCAGGACACUUCACCUUCUCUCCUCACACAAUGUGGCCGCCAUCCUCUCAACUCUCAGGCACAGUAAUCCAGAACCCCUCAUACAACCUAGAAGUACAGGCUAGUUUAGAUAUGGAACAGUCUGUGGGAUAUGAGCCGGAUAUGAACUCUUUCUCCUGUCCGAACCCUGAACCACACAACACCAUGUCUUAUGUGCCCUUUGAGACGGAUUCCUGGGGUUACAAGUUCCAGUGUCACAUAGAAGACAGCUCUCCUCUCCAGGAGUAGAGCCUCUGGGCAGCCCUAUUUCCAUCAGCUCCACUCAAAUCAUAUUUUUGUUCCAGCCCAGCACUAACACAGCUGAGAAGACCAAUUAAGAUUUUGAUUGGGCCUUGAUUGCACUGCUCCUGGAAAUAAAAGUGGCUUAUCAAACAGAAAGAAUGAACUGCUGUACUUGUAUUUAUUUAAAUGCACUUCUCUCUGCUGACUUGAUAUGUUGCUUUAUGUGAAAUAUUUAGAUGACAGUGGAAAUGUUUUGAUAGAUACAGCAUGAGUAAUUAUGUAACAGUAAGUAUUGCUUCCGUCCCUCUUCGCCCCAACCAGGGAACUUCUGCACACAUCGACAAGUCGCCCAUCGCUCCACAAAAGCCGCGGCUACUUCAAGUCUCAGAGCGAGUGACGUCACCGAGAUUGUGCGUCAAGAAUUCAGCAUAGCAAAUUUGUAUGAAGGUCUGGUUAUUAAAUGGGUACAUAGUUCAAUAGUAAUAUGGUCUAAAACGCUCCGGUGACUUUGCUACCCUGUUUCCAAUUAGCUACAUGGCUGGGAGAACCUAUUCAAGUAAGUUAAGUAAAUACAUUUCGAAAAUGUAAAAAAAUAACAUUGUUACAGUGCAGGCUAACUCAAAUGAGCUAGCUAGUUGGCUAGCUAGACAACUUUACAUACUGUAUAGAUAGGUAGCUGGGGAUUUUUAAUUCGCUUAGCCAGCUAACUUCAUAUUAGCUAGCUAUCUUGAUGUAUUUAUCACUGUGAAAAACACACUCCAAAUGCCAUGGAGGAGGGUGAAAGGAUAAUUUUUAGCAGCCCCAACUUUCAAAGUGAGAGAGUAAGCUAUUCUGGAUGGGGCAGGUACUUUUGUGUAGUUCCAGUCCCUAGAAGUGAGGACGGAGGUAAUAGUAACAUAAUAUUCAGCGCAGUGUAAUUUGAGUAUAAUGAAGUCUGUUUCUUGUGAGUUUUUCUGUCCUCAGAUAAAGAGAGCUCUGAAAGCCUGUCUACGGAUGAAGAGGUCCCAAUGAAGAGCAGUGGUUCUCAGUCCUGGUCCUGAGGACUCAAAGGGGUGCACAUUUUUGUUUUUGCCUUAGCACUGCACAGCUGAUUCAAAUGAUCAACUCAUCAUCAAGCUUUGAACGGUAUUCAUGUAUUCAUUUGUGAUGCUAUCCCUGUUAUGAUCCUGUUAUUGUCACAUGCUACACAUGCACAUGUGUGUGCCAUGCAUGCAAGGUUGAGUGACCAGGGCCAUCUGGGACUGCCUCCUGGAGGAAUUCAGGCGUGUGAAUGCUACCUUUGUCCUGCAUAACUUCAUGAGGAUGGACACGAGGACCAGGAGGGGAUCUGCAGCUCGCCGGCGUGUGCCAGAGGUGAAGUCUGGUGCCCUGCAGGAUGUUUCAAGGAUGGGGGGGGUCCAACAAUGCAGCAAGAGAGGCAAUCCGUGUGUGGGAGAUCUUCACCUCCUACUUCUUUGAAGAGGGUGCUGUUCCCUGGCAACACCAUAGACUACACUAUGCACAACCAAAGGCUCUUUUAAGAGCCAUCCACAUUACAAUAAGAGUAUUCUUCCAUUUACUUAUCUAUGUCAACUGCAGUUAUUCAAUUCCCAGUUUCUCUCCCUUUGAUUUCUACUUCUCAGGUGAUGGUGCUGUUUAGGUAAGGGUGUGAUGUCUGUACAAAAACAAAACAGGCUAUUUUAAGUCAUCCAUAUUGAAAAAAGUUUAAACAAUUAGACACCCUAUAACCCACACAUACACACAUGUAUCAAUCUGAUUGAUGGAUUGCGUUGUGCAGUAAGCAGGCUCAGGUGAAUAACUGUGGCUCCUUCCACCUUUCCUAGCCACUGUGCUUCUACACCUGCAUUGCUUGCUGUUUGGGGUUUUAGGUUGGGUUUCUGUACAGCACUUUGAGAUAUCAGCUGAUGUAAGAAGGGCUAUAUAAAUAGAUUUGAUUUGAUUCAAAGAAUAGGCAAGAGGGCCAACCAUGGAGAAUAGUAUGGCAAUUCAAAUCAAAUCAAAUUUAUUUAUAUAGCCCUUCGUACAUCAACUGAAAUCACAAAGUGCUGUACAGAAACCCAGCCUAAAACCCCAAACAGCAAGCAAUGCAUGUGAAAGAAGCACGGUGGCUGGGAAAAACUCCCUAGGAAAAACUCCUGAGAAAGGCCAAAAACCUAGGAAGAAACCUAGAGAGGAACCAGGCUAUGAGGGGUGGCCAGUCCUCUUCUGGCUGUGCCGGGUGGAUAUUAUAACAGAACAUGGUCAAGAUGUUAAAAUGUUCGUAAAUGACCAGCAUGGUCAAAUAAUAAUAAUCAUAGUAAUUGUCGAGGGUGCAACAAGCACGUCCGGUGAACAGGUCAGGGUUCCGUAGCCGCAGGCAGAACAGUUGAAACUGGAGCAGCAGCAUGGCCAGGUGGACUGGGGACAGCAAGGAGUCAUCAUGCCAGGUAGUCCUGAGGCAUGGUCCUAGGGCUCAGGUCCUCCGAGAGAAAGAGAGAAAGAGAGAAUUAGAGAGAGCAUAUUUACAUUCACACAGGACACCGGAUAAGACAAGAGAAUACUCCAGAUGUAACAGACUGACCCUAGCCCCCCGACACAUAAACUACUGCAGCAUAAAUACUGGAGGCUGAGACAGGAGGGAUCAGAAGACACUGAAGACAAUUCAUUAUUUCUAUAACUGCGCUAUAUUGUUUGUCCUCGUGUGUCCGUCCAUGUUUUUCAGCAUAAAGUACUCUGCAGCCACUUAGUGUGGACACCAGGUAAGGCCACACACAGAUUCCUGUUGAACACUCUCUUUAACUACCUUAUUUUCUCAAUAACAGUCUCUCUCCUUCACUUCAUCCCUCUCUCGCCUUCUCCCUAAAUCCUCUAGGUUAUAUCAGCUGUCAGUGAACCCCUCCCGCAUCUGAACUGGCUACUUAGAGGGCACAGCAUGAUCAGAGGUGAGAGGUCACUUGGUCAGGAAGUAUUAUUAAAUAGGUGCUUUACAUUGAAAUAGAGAUGUAGUAGUCCCAGAGUUAAUGAUCCAAGGUCAGUUUUGCAUUUCACCUGAUGAUUAUGAUGACUGACAGUGUUAGCAUGUUUGAGCUUUGGGUUUUUAAAAAGUUUAUUCUAUCUCGCCAUCUCUAUCUCUCGUCUGCAGGUAUGUUUUGAUGUGAGAGAGGUUGCCAACCCCCAGUCCCAUCAUCGCCACCUCACCCUCUCUAAAGAUAACCUUUGGGCCGACUGGGAGCCCAAGGCUGGUUAGGAGACACUAUUAUGUAAUUGUGAUUAACUGAGAGAAUAUUAUGGUAGCACUGUGAUUCAUUAAUCAUAUGCUGCCUUCCCAGCUCCUAUGUUCUUACCUUUUUCCCUUUCUGUCUUUUACACCUCUCACCAACUUUCUUCCUCUGUUUUUAUAAUGCACAACAGAUGUGCAUUGAAGUACAGAUUGAACUUGUAUUUAUAAUAUUACAAUUAUAAUAUUUCUAAUGCAUGUAUUUAUAACACUUGGACAAUUAACUUAUUUCAAUAAAGGGUUUCACAUUCUCUACUGUGUUUAUCAGAUCAAUGCAGAUGAUGGAAAUUAGAUAUUGAGAUGAACCGGUUUGAUUAUGUACAUGAUGCAUAGGAAGUGUAGUGUACUGUUUUAAAAAAUAAUAUUUCUGUAUAUAUGAAUUACAAAUCAGCCUUUAACUCGUUAAAUCAUGUUUCUAGUCUAUUGCAUAGUUACAAUGUGUAACCAUUGAUGUCCCAGGACCAAGACUGGUAAACACUGAAGUGUAUCAUUGUAAUACAUACAUGCAGACCCGGCAUCAUUCAAAGACUGGAAUUUUAUGCUCCUGGUAUUGGAUAUCACUGAAAGAUAAUCUCAAAAACAUUCAUACCUGAACUGUAC
This 4635-nucleotide long non-coding RNA is filed under the name Salmo trutta (river trout). Its description in RNAcentral is "lncRNA (ENSSTUG00000037980.1)". The stretch from base 2284 to 2329 matches the Rfam family "Histone 3' UTR stem-loop". Lineage: Eukaryota; Metazoa; Chordata; Actinopteri; Salmoniformes; Salmonidae. The record is from RNAcentral.